CCUACGGGAGGCAGCAGUGAGGAAUAUUGGUCAAUGGACGAGAGUCUGAACCAGCCAAGUAGCGUGAAGGAUGACUGCCCUAUGGGUUGUAAACUUCUUUUAUAUGGGAAUAAAACGUUCCACGUGUGGGAUUUUGUAUGUACCAUAUGAAUAAGGAUCGGCUAACUCCGUGCCAGCAGCCGCGGUAAUACGGAGGAUCCGAGCGUUAUCCGGAUUUAUUGGGUUUAAAGGGAGCGUAGGUGGAUUGUUAAGUCAGUUGUGAAAGUUUGCGGCUCAACCGUAAAAUUGCAGUUGAAACUGGCAGUCGUGAGUACAGUAGAGGUGGGCGGAAUUCGUGGUGUAGCGGUGAAAUGCUUAGAUAGCACGAAGAACUCCGAUUGCGAAGGCAGCUCACUGGACUGCAACUGACACUGAGGCUCGAAAGUGUGGGUAUCAAACAGGAUUAGAUACCCCUGUAGUC
This 460-nucleotide ribosomal RNA is filed under the name uncultured bacterium. RNAcentral's name for it is "partial 16S ribosomal RNA". It matches the Rfam family "Bacterial small subunit ribosomal RNA", at positions 338 to 795 of the family's 1533-position model. The record is from RNAcentral.